UAUUAUUAUUAUUGUAAGUCGCUCUGGAUAAGAGCGUCUGCUAAAUGACUUAAA
Molecule: non-coding RNA, 54 nt
Organism: Salmo salar (Atlantic salmon)
Lineage: Eukaryota; Metazoa; Chordata; Actinopteri; Salmoniformes; Salmonidae
Source: Rfam